RNAcentral lists this ribosomal RNA (1376 nucleotides) under uncultured bacterium. RNAcentral describes it as "bacterial SSU rRNA". It matches the Rfam family "Bacterial small subunit ribosomal RNA". The record is from RNAcentral.
UGGGUUUGAUCAUGGCUUAGGAUUAACGCUAGCGGUAUGCAUAAUACAUGCAAGUCAUGCGGCCAGCAAUGGCAGCGGCAAACGGGUGAGUAAUACAUAUUUAAUCUACCCAUAAGAGGAGAAUAACUGAAUGAAAAUUUAGCUAAUACUCCAUAGGAAAUAGAAAGGCAUCUUUUUAUUUUUAAAGUUGCGUUUGCAACACUUUUGGAUGAGAGUAUGUCUUAUCAGAUAGUUGGUGAGGUAAUGGCCCACCAAGUCGAUGACAAGUAGCUAUACUGAGAGGUAGAAUAGCCACAAUGGGACUGAGAUACGGCCCAUACUCCUACGGGAGGCAGCAGUAGGGAAUUUUUCACAAUGGGCGCAAGCCUGAUGGAGCAAUACCGCGUGGAUGAUGAAGGCCUUCGGGUUGUAAAAUCCUUUUAUUAGAGACGAAUGAUUAUAUUAGGAAAUGAAUAUAAUUUGACUGUACCUUUUGAAUAAGAGACGACAAACUUCGUGCCAGCAGUCGCGGUAAUACGAAGGUCUCAAGCGUUAUCCGGAUUAACUGGGUGUAAAGGGAUGCGUAGGUGGAAAAAUAAGUUUAUUGUUAAAUGGUAUUGCUCAAAAAUAGCAUGCAAUAAAAACUAUUUUUCUUGAGUUGGAUAGAGAGUUUUAGAACUCCAUGUGGAGCGGUGGAAUGCGUAGAUAUAUGGAAGAAUACCAGAGGCGAAGGCGAAAACUUAGGUCCAAACUGACACUUAGGCUCGAAAGUGUGGGGAGCAAAUAGGAUUAGAUACCCUAGUAGUCCACACCGUAAACGAUGUUCAUUAGAUUGUUUGCCCGAAUGGGUGAGAAUCGUAGCUAACGCGUUAAAUGAACCACCUGAGUAGUACAUUCGCAAGAAUGAAACUCAAACCGGAAUUGACGGGGACCAGCACAAAAGGUGGAGCAUGUUGUUUGAUUCGACAGUACACGCUGAACCUUACCAAGUCUUGACAUCCCCUGCGAAGUUAUAGAAAUAUAAUGGAGGUUAACAGGGAGACAGGUGAUGCAUGGUUGUCGUCAGUUCGUGUCGUGAGAUGUUGGGUUAAGUCCUUCAACGAACGCAACCCUUAUUGUUAGUUAAUUCAUCUAACGAAACUGCCUUUAGCUUUUAGCUUAGGAGGAAGGUGGGGAUGACGUCAAAUCAUCAUGUCCCUUAUGACUUGGGCCACAAACGUGCUACAAUGGCUAUUACAAACUGUUGCAAAAUCGUAAGAUCGAGCUAAUCAGAUAAAGGUAGUCUCAGUUCGGAUUGAGGGCUGCAAUUCGCCCUCAUGAAGUUGGAAUCGUUAGUAAUCUCGAAUCAGACAUGUCGAGGUGAAUACCGUUCUCUGGUCUUGUACACACCGCCCGUC